CCCGUGUUAGCCAGGUUGGCCUCGAUCCCCUCGUGAUCCGCCCGUCUCGGCCUCCCAAAGUGCUGGGAUUACAGGCAUGAGCCACCGCGCCCGGCCGAAGUGUCAACUUUCAAACUCACUUGGACUCUUCUAAGAAUCCAGUUUUUUGCACUUGUGUUAGGGGGCUGUCGUUAACUCCCAGUGGCCGCUGAGGUCCUUGCCUGUGGAUUCCUGCUUCUCAAAGCCAGCAAGGGCGUGUCAAAUCUGCUCAUGCUUGGAAUCUCUCUGACUUUUCCUUGGGUCACAUAUCUCUUGCUUCACCCUCUGCCACACUUUUUUUUUUCCUGAAAGCCAAAAAGAUUCUUUGCUUUAAGGGGUGAUGUAUUUAGAUUGAGAGCCCACCUGGAUAGUGGGUCCUCUCCCCUCCCGUUUUAGAUUCUCAGGCAGUUCUUUAUAGCAGUGUGAAAACGGACUAAUACACAGUGCUUUGUGCUUGGAAAACGGCAUGAAGGAGAUGGAGGUAAUGUGCGAUGACUGAGAGAAUUUGUAGAACAGCAAAAACCACUGAAAUGCCAUUCUUCAAUAGAGGCACCAGAUCUCCAGGUGUGCCUAAAGAAUCUUGGGGAUGUGUCUUCUGAAGCUAAAGAGACCCCUAAGCAUCCUGCAAAGAAGCCAACAAGGCCUGCAAAAGUCACCUAGAUCAUGAAAUUGACUAUGUCAGGGGAGGCAAUUCGUCACAAUCGUGUUUGAAAAUGAGGAUAAGCAUGGAGAGCCAAUGAUUACAUUUCACAAUGUCCUUCAUGGGUCUUCUCCUUUAAGAAACAACAUGAGGAUUCCCAGGCAAGAUGGCCAAAUAGGAACAGCUCCUGUCUGCAGCUCCCAGGGAGAACAAUGCAGAAGGCAGGUGAUUUCUGCAUUUCUAGCUCAGUGUAAACAAAGCCACCUGGAAGUUUGGAUUGGGCGGAGCCUACCAGAGCUGGGCAAAGCCUCUGUAGCCAGACUGCCUCUCUAGAUUCCUCCUCUCUGGGUAGGGAAUCUCUGAAAGAAAGGCGGCAGCCCCAGUCAGGGGCUUAUAGAUAAAACUCCCAUUUCUCAAAGACAGAGCACCUGGGGAAAGGGGCGGCUGUGGGCUCAGCUUCAGCAGACUUAAAUGUUCCUGCCUGCUGGCUCUGAAGAGAGCAGUGGAUCUCCCAGCACAAUGCUCGGCUCAAGCUCUGCUAAGGGACAUUCUGCCUUCUCAGGUGGGUCCCUGACCCCAUGUCUCCUGACAGGGAGACACCUCCCAGCAGAGGUUGACAGACACCUCAUACAGGAGAGCUCCGGCUGGCAUCUGGCAGGUGCCCCUCUGGGACAAAGUUUCCAGAGGAAGGAGCAGGCAGCAAUCUUUGCUGUUCUACAGCCUCUGCUGGUGAUACCCAGGCAAAGAGGAUCUGGAGUGGAUGCCUUAGCAAACUCUAGCAAACCUGCAGAAGAGGGGCCUGACUGUUAGAAGGAAAACUAACCAAUAGAAAGCAAUAGCAUCAAAAUCAACAAAAAGGAUGACCCCACAAAAACUCCAUACUAAGGUCACCAACAUCAAAG
This 1560-nucleotide long non-coding RNA is filed under the name Homo sapiens (human). RNAcentral's name for it is "PREDICTED lncRNA (TCONS_00194197)". Lineage: Eukaryota; Metazoa; Chordata; Mammalia; Primates; Hominidae. The record is from RNAcentral.